This 492-nucleotide ribosomal RNA is filed under the name uncultured bacterium. RNAcentral describes it as "partial 16S ribosomal RNA". It matches the Rfam family "Bacterial small subunit ribosomal RNA", at positions 29 to 507 of the family's 1533-position model. The record is from RNAcentral.
AGUGAACGCUGGCGGUAGGCCUAACACAUGCAAGUCGAACCGCAGCACAGUAAGAGCUUGCUCUUACGGGUGGCGAGUGGCGGACGGGUGAGGAAUACAUCGGAAUCUACUUUUUCGUGGGGGAUAACGUAGGGAAACUUACGCUAAUACCGCAUACGACCUACGGGUGAAAGCAGGGGAUCUUUGGACCUUGCGCGAUUGAAUGAGCCGAUGUCGGAUUAGCUAGUUGGCGGGGUAAAGGCCCACCAAGGCGACGCUCCGUAGCUGGUCUGAGAGGAUGAUCACCCACACUGGAACUGAGACACGGUCCAGACUCCUCCGGGAGGCAGCAGUGGGGAAUAUUGGACAAUGGGCGCAAGCCUGAUCCAGCCAUACCGCGUGGGUGAAGAAGGCCUUCGGGUUGUAAAGCCCUUUUGUUGGGAAAGAAAAGCAGCAGGUUAAUACCCCGCUGUUCUGACGGUACCCAAAGAAUAAGCACCGGCUAACUUCGUG